Serinus canaria (Common canary) is the source of this 1120-nucleotide long non-coding RNA. RefSeq lists it as uncharacterized. NCBI's taxonomy places the organism in Eukaryota, Metazoa, Chordata, Aves, Passeriformes, Fringillidae. The record is from RefSeq and is a predicted model, not a curated record. The transcript is spliced from 4 exons.
AAAGAAACUUUACUAUAGUAUGGAAAUCAAACCUUCAGAACUAAAAUUCCAGCAACAACAGUUUUCCAAGGUGUUUUGCAUCCUAUUUUAAAAUUUAUUUUAUUUCAUUAUGUAUUUCAAUAGUUAUACUACUUUUUACAGAACUUCUGGAUACCUGAGUUUUCUUUGAGGUUUAUUAGGACUCCAAAGUUGUCAGAAGUCCAAGAAGUGUGAGGGACCUUCACUUCAAGUCUUUCCUGUUCAGACCCUAAAUAAGCAUCUGAGAGUCUUGCUGGAUUUUGAAGAACAAGAAGGUGACAUGUAAGCAGACCAGGAUCAUCUGCAUGGAGACUGCUUCUUGCUGCUGCCCCUGUGAAUUUUAUGUUUUAGAGCAAAAAGCAUGGCAGUGCCAUGGCUUAUGUGAGUGUUUACAUGAACACAAGCACAAGUCUGCACUCAACGUGGUUUGAAUUAAAAGACUGCUGUCCAAGUGAAUGGCAUGUACUACCCACGAGCACUGGGAGGUGUCUUGGAAGAUAUUCCAGAUCUUGUCAGGCCAGCUUUAGGUUACAGAAAGAAGAAAAGGCAAGUAGGUGGUCCCAAGAAGUCUGCUGUCUAGUGGGAUUUAUGUGUGUUUGGCACAAGGAUGCUGUCAUGACCAAGAAUCUAUCUUCUGCUAACUGAGCCUGUUUGCUGUAGUUCAAGGAUCUGAGGCUGCAAGAGUGUUGUCAACAAAAGGAACUCGUCAUAGCAUACUCUUAAUUCAACUGAAAUCGAGGAUAUGCCUACUCUGCUUGGAUCACUGGUACUGCUCAGUGAUCCUGCAGCGUUACUGAUGGCAGGACUGCAGCCCAAGUGCAAUCACGGAAAAGCCAGGAGCUGCAGCUUUCAUCAAUGGGAUUUUAAACAAGGGGUUUUCAUGAGCACCAAGGCACAUUCUGCUUGACAUGCUGGCACAAAGUCAACAUAGAAGAAUGCUGUGUCAGGAAACUGUCAUGAAAUUUACAGCAGAAAUUAAACCCUUCAAAUUUUCCUCUGAGUAAAAGGUUCACGUGGAGUUGUUUGAUUCCAUAAAAUUACAUAAUUUCUAUAAACGCGAGGAUGUUACAGACAAUAUAAAAAUGAUCACAACAUAAUUGUU